GAUGAACGCUGGCGGCGUGCCUAAUACAUGCAAGUCGAGCGAACGGACGAGAAGCUUGCUUCUCUGAUGUUAGCGGCGGACGGGUAAGUAACACGUGGAUAACCUACCUAUAAGACUGGGAUAACUUCGGGAAACCGGAGCUAAUACCGGAUAAUAUUUUGGACCGCAUGGUUCAAAAGUGAAAGACGGUCUUGCUGUCACUUAUAGAUGGAUCCGCGCUGCAUUAGCUAGUUGGUAAGGUAACGGCUUACCAAGGCAACGAUGCAUAGCCGACCUGAGAGGGUGAUCGGCCACACUGGAACUGAGACACGGUCCAGACUCCUACGGGAGGCAGCAGUAGGGAAUCUUCCGCAAUGGGCGAAAGCCUGACGGAGCAACGCCGCGUGAGUGAUGAAGGUCUUCGGAUCGUAAAACUCUGUUAUUAGGGAAGAACAUAUGUGUAAGUAACUGUGCACAUCUUGACGGUACCUAAUCAGAAAGCCACGGCUAACUACGUG
RNAcentral lists this ribosomal RNA (497 nucleotides) under uncultured bacterium. RNAcentral describes it as "partial 16S ribosomal RNA". It matches the Rfam family "Bacterial small subunit ribosomal RNA", at positions 28 to 507 of the family's 1533-position model. The record is from RNAcentral.